GGGACAACAUCCCGAAAGGGGUGCUAAUACCGAAUGUGACAGCAAUCUCGCAUGAGGAUGCUGUGAAAGAUGGCCUCUGUUUAUAAGCUAUCGCUAGAGGAUGGGCCUGCGUCUGAUUAGCUAGUUGGUGGGGUAACGGCCUACCAAGGCGAUGAUCAGUAGCCGGUCUGAGAGGAUGAACGGCCACAUUGGGACUGAGACACGGCCCAGACUCCUACGGGAGGCAGCAGUGGGGAAUCUUCCGCAAUGGGCGAAAGCCUGACGGAGCAAUGCCGCGUGAGUGAUGAAGGAAUUCGUUCCGUAAAGCUCUUUUGUUUAUGACGAAUGUGCAGAUUGUGAACAAUGAUCUGUAAUGACGGUAGUAAACGAAUAAGCCACGGCUAACUACGUGCCAGCAGCCGCGGUAAUACGUAGGUGGCGAGCGUUGUCCGGAAUUAUUGGGCGUAAAGAGCAUGUAGGCAGUUUUUUAAGUCUGGAGUGAAAAUGCGGGGCUCAACCCCGUAUGGCUCUGGAUACUGGAAGACUUGAGUGCAGGAGAGGAAAGGGGAAUUCCCAGUGUAGCGGUGAAAUGCGUAGAUAUUGGGAGGAACACCAGUGGCGAAGGCGCCUUUCUGGACUGUGUCUGACGCUGAGAUGCGAAAGCCAGGGUAGCGAACGAGAUUAGAUACCCCGGUAGUCCUGGCCGUAA
RNAcentral lists this ribosomal RNA (688 nucleotides) under uncultured bacterium. RNAcentral describes it as "bacterial SSU rRNA". It matches the Rfam family "Bacterial small subunit ribosomal RNA", at positions 140 to 805 of the family's 1533-position model. The record is from RNAcentral.